Molecule: long non-coding RNA, 1139 nt
Organism: Zonotrichia albicollis (white-throated sparrow)
Lineage: Eukaryota; Metazoa; Chordata; Aves; Passeriformes; Passerellidae
Source: Ensembl
CCCAACUUAGCUCUCACUGCUCUCUAACUAGACCAUGGGAAGGCAAAGAAAUUCAGUCCGGCGCCUCUCCGGAGCAGGAUAGCGAGGGGAGCGGGCAGAUGCGGCCGCCAGGAGCUCAGCAUCCCCGGAGCUCUGCCUGCCCCCGCAGACCCCUGCACAACCCCUCUCCCCCUUCCCUGGGCUGCCAGGGCGGACGGGAGCUGGCAGGAAAAGCUGCCACAGUGCGCUAGAUGGGAUUCCUCUCGGGGAAGAGGAGGGACGGGAAAAGGAGAAACCCGCGCGCACUUUCCCUUCCAAUGAUCCCAAUCUCGCCGCGCACUGGAAAAGCCUCUUCUCCCCCCAGACCCCGCCAGGCAAGACCGGGUACGGUAAUUUGGGCUCUCCGCAGGGCACUGGGGAAGCACUCUGCGGGCGGCCCCGCUCAGCCCCCGCGCUUCCCUGCGCUGCCCCGGAGGCUGCGGGAGCCGCGGUGCCCCCGCCUCCGCUCCGCGCUCCGGAGGAUGGAUGUUCCGGGGAUGGAUGCUCCGGGGAUGGAUGCGCCGGGGGAUGCGGCGGAGCGGGCGUUUGGCGCAUCGCUGCCCGGAGGGGAUGGGAUGGGACAGGGUGGGCUGGGCUGGGGGUCACUCACCUCGCUGCAAGGUGACCCGCGGCGCGGUGCUCCCGCAGGGGCGGCUCAGCGCCCCGGCGCUCCGCCCGGCAGCAUCCCCGCGGCGGGGGCGGCGGCGGGCACCGGGCCCGGGGGAUGCACAGCGCCCGCCGAGAAGGGGCUGCGCCGCCUGCACCGCCUCGGCGGCACUGUGCGCUCGGCAGGAGGAGGAGAAAAAGGAGGAGGGACGGAGGGAGAGGGAGAGAGAGGCAGGCGGAGGGAGAGAGGCAGGAGGAGAAGGAGCCCUGCGCGGCAGCGCGGCCAACUUUCCUUCUGCAGCGCAGCAGGAACAGCCUCCCGUCCCUCGGUGUGUAACCCCCGCCCCGGGUGCUUUCCUCCACAGCUGAUGGAGAUGCAGGAAAGCUGCUGUGCAGACAGAAGCACAAAGAGGAACACAAAGAAAUAUUUGAAAGGAGCAAAGGUGGGGAGGAAGAAAGUUCACCUCCCUGAGUCUGAUGGAUGUUGGAGCAGGGCAGCCCAUGAUGGCUUGUGA